CCUACGGGCGGCAGCAGUGGGGGAUAUUGCACAAUGGGGGAAACCCUGAUGCAGCGACGCCGCGUGUGGGAAGACGGUCCUCUGGAUUGUAAACCACUGUCCCCAGGGACGAAGAUGACGGUACCUGGGGGGGAAGCUCCGGCUAACCACGUGCCAGCAGCCGCGGUAAUACGUAGGGAGCGAGCGUUGUCCGGAUUUACGGGGUGUAAAGGGAGCGUAGGCGGUACUGCAAGUUGGGGGUCAAAUCUACCGGCUCAACCGGUAGCCGCACUCAAGACUGCAAUUCUUGAGUGCAGUAGAGGCAGGCGGAAUUCCUAGUGUAGCGGUGAAAUGCGUAGAUAUUAGGAAGAACACCAGUGGCGAAGGCGGCCUGCUGGGCUUUUACUGACGCUGAGGCUCGAAAGUGUGGGGAGCAAACAGGAUUAGAUACCCCUGUAGUC
RNAcentral lists this ribosomal RNA (440 nucleotides) under uncultured bacterium. RNAcentral describes it as "partial 16S ribosomal RNA". It matches the Rfam family "Bacterial small subunit ribosomal RNA", at positions 338 to 795 of the family's 1533-position model. The record is from RNAcentral.